This 428-nucleotide ribosomal RNA is filed under the name uncultured bacterium. RNAcentral's name for it is "partial 16S ribosomal RNA". It matches the Rfam family "Bacterial small subunit ribosomal RNA", at positions 354 to 796 of the family's 1533-position model. The record is from RNAcentral.
GUAGGGAAUAUUGCGCAAUGGACGAAAGUCUGACGCAGCGACGCCGCGUGAGUGAUGAAGGCCUUAGGGUCGUAAAGCUCUGUUGAAUGGGAAGAAAAAAAUGACGGUACCAUUCGAGGAAGGACCGGCUAACUUCGUGCCAGCAGCCGCGGUAAUACGAGGGGUCCUAGCGUUGUUCGGAAUCAUUGGGCGUAAAGGUAGUGUAGGUGGCCAUGUAAGUCAGGUGUGAAAGCCCCGGGCUCAACCCGGGAAGUGCAAUUGAUACUGCGUGGCUUGAGUACCGAAGAGGGUAGUGGAAUGCCAGGUGUAGUGGUGAAAUACGUAGAUAUCUGGAGGAACACCGGUGGCGAAGGCGGCUACCUGGUCGAGUACUGACACUGAGACACGAAAGCAUGGGGAUCAAACAGGAUUAGAUACCCUGGUAGUCC